ACGGUAAGGCCCUUUCGGGGGUACACGAGUGGCGAACGGGUGAGUAACACGUGGGUAAUCUGCCCUGCACUUCGGGAUAAGCCUGGGAAACCGGGUCUAAUACCGGAUAUGAGCUCCUGCCGCAUGGUGGGGGUUGGAAAGUUUUUCGGUGCAGGAUGAGUCCGCGGCCUAUCAGCUUGUUGGUGGGGUAAUGGCCUACCAAGGCGACGACGGGUAGCCGGCCUGAGAGGGUGAUCGGCCACACUGGGACUGAGACACGGCCCAGACUCCUACGGGAGGCAGCAGUGGGGAAUAUUGCACAAUGGGCGAAAGCCUGAUGCAGCGACGCCGCGUGGGGGAUGACGGUCUUCGGAUUGUAAACUCCUUUCAGUAGGGACGAAGCGAAAGUGACGGUACCUGCAGAAGAAGCACCGGCCAACUACGUGCCAGCAGCCGCGGUAAUACGUAGGGUGCAAGCGUUGUCCGGAAUUACUGGGCGUAAAGAGCUCGUAGGCGGUUUGUCACGUCGUCUGUGAAAUCCUCCAGCUCAACUGGGGGCGUGCAGGCGAUACGGGCAGACUUGAGUACUACAGGGGAGACUGGAAUUCCUGGUGUAGCGGUGAAAUGCGCAGAUAUCAGGAGGAACACCGGUGGCGAAGGCGGGUCUCUGGGUAGUAACUGACGCUGAGGAGCGAAAGCAUGGGGGAGCAAACAGGAUUAGAUACCCUGGUAGUCCAUGCCGUAAACGGUGGGCGCUAGGUGUGGGGUCCUUCCACGGAUUCCGUGCCGUAGCUAACGCAUUAAGCGCCCCGCC
This 793-nucleotide ribosomal RNA is filed under the name Dietzia sp. AU645C. RNAcentral's name for it is "bacterial SSU rRNA". It matches the Rfam family "Bacterial small subunit ribosomal RNA", at positions 66 to 873 of the family's 1533-position model. Lineage: Bacteria; Bacillati; Actinomycetota; Actinomycetes; Mycobacteriales; Dietziaceae. The record is from RNAcentral.